This 76-nucleotide transfer RNA is filed under the name Candidatus Kaiserbacteria bacterium CG10_big_fil_rev_8_21_14_0_10_51_14. RNAcentral describes it as "tRNA-Lys". It matches the Rfam family "tRNA". From Rfam's summary of the family: Transfer RNA (tRNA) molecules are approximately 80 nucleotides in length. Their secondary structure includes four short double-helical elements and three loops (D, anti-codon, and T loops). The record is from RNAcentral. Lineage: Bacteria; Candidatus Kaiseribacteriota.
CCGCCCUUAGCUCAGUCGGUAGAGCAGCUCCCUUUUAAGGAGAAGGUCCUUGGUUCGAGCCCAAGAGGGCGGACAA